GGGAAGUAGCUCAGCUUGGUAGAGCACAUGGUUUGGGACCAUGGGGUCGCAGGUUCGAAUCCUGUCUUCCCGACCAU
This 77-nucleotide transfer RNA is filed under the name Bacillus subtilis XF-1. RNAcentral's name for it is "tRNA-Pro". It matches the Rfam family "tRNA". From Rfam's summary of the family: Transfer RNA (tRNA) molecules are approximately 80 nucleotides in length. Their secondary structure includes four short double-helical elements and three loops (D, anti-codon, and T loops). Lineage: Bacteria; Bacillati; Bacillota; Bacilli; Caryophanales; Bacillaceae. The record is from RNAcentral.